This is a long non-coding RNA of Gadus chalcogrammus (walleye pollock), 1009 nucleotides long. RefSeq lists it as uncharacterized. The transcript is spliced from 5 exons. NCBI's taxonomy places the organism in Eukaryota, Metazoa, Chordata, Actinopteri, Gadiformes, Gadidae. The record is from RefSeq and is a predicted model, not a curated record.
AAUGGCUUCAUUAUACCUAGUUCGUAUGCGACCCAAAUACUAAAUAGAAAAGCGUUUGUCAAAUUCAGGACUGGCGCUGGAAGCUGUAGGUGGAGGGAAGACCAGGAGUGGUGCAGCUCUGCAGAUGCUGAAGGGGACUGAGGCGACGCAGUCGGAGGUCCCUGCGGUGGCGGUCAGCGGGAGGUGUCAAGACCAACCAGCUCCUCGUCCAGGAAAGGGGAAUUCUUCAGACCGUUCUUCAAAGGUUCAAUAAAGUCACGAUGGAAGAGCAGAUGGCUGUGCAGUUGCCAUGGUGGAGAGACCCAGAGUAUGAUGACCGAACGGUUGAUCUACAACGAUGGCCUACUCCCCAUCCACCCUGAGGAUCCCUGGCUACGCCUACAAUCCAAUCUACCCCAGACAUAACCACUCGGAGCUCAACAACUCCUACAACUCCUCCUGCCUCCUACACACCAUACUGUUACCACUUUACCAUUUUAACUUUAACUAAAAAAGUACUGUAAUUCACACCAUGUUGUAGGAAAAGCAUGUUUAGCUCAAUGAUUUAUACAUUCUAUUUCUGUGACCCCAACUAUUGUAUUUCUAACCCAGUAACCUCGUAACCCUCUUUCUAAGGGAGCGACUAAAGGGACAAAGCUGGAGCAAACCUGAGCUUAACAAUCUUUCUAAUCUUUCUUUCAAAUGUCCUAAAUUGAAACAUAUAAAAUGCCUAAAGUAACUUGUCUAACAAAACAAAAAGCCAACCUAAUACCCAAACUUAACCAUCUAACUAAAGAUCUCAAAUGCCUAAACUCUCUUACCUUAACCGAGUACCUAAACCGAACCAUUUAACUAAACAUCUCAAAGGCCUAAACUCGCUUACCUCAACCUAACCUAAUACCCAAACUUAACCAUCUAACUGAAGAGCUCAAACACCUAAACUCUUACCUUAACCUAGUAACUAAACUGAACCAUCUAACUAAACAUCUCAAAGGCCUAAACUCGCUUACCUCAACCUAACCUAAUACCC